AGGAUAAACGCUGGCGGCGUGCCUAACACAUGCAAGUCGAACGCGCUUUCGGGCUUCGGUGCGAGAGCGAGUGGCGGACGGGUGAGUAACACAUGGGUACCUACCUUGGAGUGAGGGAUACCGGCGAGAAAUCGCCGACAAUACCGCAUAGGCUUCUUCACAAGGGAAGCAAAGUGACGCGAGUCACGCUUUGAGAUGGGCCUGUGGCCGAUUAGCUAGUUGGGGGGGUAACGGCUUCCCAAGGCGACGAUCGGUAGCUGGUCUGAGAGGACGAUCAGCCACACUGGGAUUGAGAACGGCCCAGACUCCUACGGGGGGCAGCAGUGAGGAAUUUUCGUCAAUGGGGGCAACCCUGAACGAGCAACGCCGCGUGCAGGAAGAAGGUUUUCGGAUCGUAAACUGCUUUUCUCGGGGAAGAGAACGGACGGUACCCGAGGAAUCAGCCCCGGCUAACUACGCGCCAGCAGCCGC
Molecule: ribosomal RNA, 471 nt
Filed under: uncultured bacterium
Lineage: Bacteria
Description: SSU rRNA
Rfam family: Bacterial small subunit ribosomal RNA
Source: RNAcentral